This 269-nucleotide ribosomal RNA is filed under the name uncultured bacterium. RNAcentral describes it as "partial 16S ribosomal RNA". It matches the Rfam family "Bacterial small subunit ribosomal RNA", at positions 1223 to 1500 of the family's 1533-position model. The record is from RNAcentral.
UGUUACAAUGGCAGGUACAGCGGGAGGCCACCCGGCGACGGGGCGCAGAACCCGAAAACCUGUCUCAGUUCGGAUUGGAGUCUGCAACCCGACUCCAUGAAGCUGGAUUCGCUAGUAAUCGCGCAUCAGCCACGGCGCGGUGAAUACGUUCCCGGGCCUUGUACACACCGCCCGUCAAGCCAUGGAAGCCGGGGGUGCCUGAAGUGCGUGACCGCAAGGGACGCCCUAGGGUAAAACCGGUGACUGGGGCUAAGUCGUAACAAGGUACC